Molecule: ribosomal RNA, 301 nt
Filed under: uncultured bacterium
Lineage: Bacteria
Description: partial 16S ribosomal RNA
Rfam family: Bacterial small subunit ribosomal RNA
Source: RNAcentral
CAGUCGCCACGGGAAUACGUAGGGUGCGAGCGUUAAUCGGAAUUACUGGGCGUAAAGCGUGCGCAGGCGGUUAUAUAAGACAGAUGUGAAAUCCCCGGGCUCAACCUGGGACCUGCAUUUGUGACUGUAUAGCUGGAGUACGGUAGAGGGGGAUGGAAUUCCGCGUGUAGCAGUGAAAUGCGUAGAUAUGCGGAGUAACACCGAUGGCGAAGGCAAUCCCCUGGACCUGUACUGACGCUCAUGCACGAAAGCGUGGGGAGCAAACAGGAUUAGAUACCCCAGUAGUCCCUGUCUCUUAUAC